UUGAUUCUCAUGGCACUAGUGAAGCUCAGUCUAGUAUCAUUACUGUCUUGUACAUCAAAUGAUGCCCAUUUGUCGGUUUAUUGUUGUAUCAGUAGAAUGUUUGAACUGUUGUAUCAGUUUAUUCUUUUUUGCGAGGGAUUGGAUAGUCAUGUGACGUCUGGACUUGUUGGAUCAAGAAAGAUAAUAAGAUGCAAAGGUGAGGAAACAUAUUUAUUUGUAUUGAAAAGAGUUCAUACUUCAUAAUUUAUAUGCGUAGCUGCUAAUUGAAUCUUCUUAGUGUUCAGGGUUCAACCUGUGCCUUAUCACUUGCAGACCUGGAUUUAUUUUGCAGUGAGUGCAAAUAAUGUGUUUGAUUACCUCGUCCUUUGUAAGCUCAAGAGUAAUCCAAGCUAAACAUUCCCACCUAUAUUUGCACUGAGUACGAAUAGAUAUAUUAAACUAAAGCCUGUGGACUGUAGCUCUAAGAUCAUCAGUUCUGACAAAUUAUCAUUGAUGUGAUCUCCUAUUUGUAAUUUCUCGCUGGUGUUGCUAUGCUAGUUGGAUGGUUACCGAAGGUGUUGAGGUUUGGAAUCUCUGGAUGAUUAUUAAAGGUGUUAGCUCCAGGCUCAAUCAACAAAUGUUGUCAAUUUAACAGUUCUAUUGUACCUCCUGGUGAAUAGAGAAUCACCACAAGCCUCAUAGUUUUGGCAGCCUAAUUCAUGCUGCAAAAGGAGAUGGGCAUGAAGUGAGUAAGGAACAUUUAUAAGCUUAAAGUAGAUGAGAAGGAGGUUAGCUACCAAGCGCACAAUGCUUAAAAAGCAAAAAUCAUAAGAUCAAAUACUAUUGGUUGCUUAAUUUUGAAUUCAGUUUGUUAUUUCUUGCAAGUUUCCAAAUUAGACGGAGGCUAUGUUAACGCGUUUGAAUAAUAUGAUAUUGGUCAAAUCUGUUUGAAGUAUUAUUAAUUAGUUUAAAGUAAUUUUGUUUUAUAAUCUUUAUUGUGUGAUUCAGAACUCUCUUAUUAGUGAACAUCUUCCCUUUCGACAUUACUCCCAUCAGGACAUUUUUUUGAUAAUCUAGCAGGUACACUACUAUUAGUAAUUUACCUUUGUACAAAGGAUGUCAGUCUCCUCGAUCUUCACAAGGCUGAAAAUGAUUCUUAUCUCCUGCUCGGUAGGUAGAAAAGGAACGAAGCAUGUGAAGCCUAAUUUUUUUCUUAAAAGAAUGUCCUAGGCUGGUUCUAUUCUCUUUCAGCGGUUUAAGAUACGCCUAAUUGCUGGGAACAAAUGCACUAAUAAGUGGACAAUAUAUUGUCUUCAGAUCUUCUUGAUGUGGACAUGAGCCAUUGAAAACUGUUGGACUGUUUAUCUUCUUUAACUUGUAGGCUUGUUCAAAUACUUAGGGAUUAACUAAAGUGACGUUCAAUGUGCCUUUUGUACCAAUCGACUAGACCUUCUAAUUCAUCUAUUGCCACUUACUUGAAGACAAGGGAGUAUAUAUUUACCCGUUGAUAGAACCUUCUAUUCAAAUACUCUUUUUCUAGUCAUACUUACUAAUCAAAGGCUUCCUGGUGAGGCAUUUACACCAUACACUUUUUGAGAUUUUACAUUAUUAGAUCCAUAUGUAUUAUAUUGUUUAGAUUGUAAGAUUCAAAUUGUGUAAUGAUGUUGGAUUUUAGGAUCCAGCCCAUUGUGAACAGGUUUUUCUGAGUGUUGUAAAAACUGUAAAAGGGAUCAUGAUAUCUUUCACCUUGGAAUUUCCAAUGUUAUAUUUCAAGUUUAGUUUGUACUUCUGGAUGCUGACCAUGACUUAUCUUUUUGCAGAGGUCCACGAUGGGUAAGUGUGAACUUAGCUUACUUUCAAGUUUGCUUACACGAUUGAAAGUCAACUUAGCUUUCCUCUGUCUAGGAAUGCGAAUGAGUCACUGAAAUGCAACAUAUACUUGCCUCAGCUCUGAUUUGUCAAACUAGUAUCUAUUAGAAUUUUGAUGCAUCUCAAUAACUGCUUCGUGUCAACUGCAGGUAAGAUCUGCAACCCUGGACACAUGGCUUCCAGAGCAGGUUGCAUUUAUUCAAUACAUUUGUAUUGGCACAUGUUUGGGGCGGCUGAUUUGUUUUAAUUGGCACUGGUCAUUCACAGCAAUGGGAAAUGAAAAGGCAAAUAGCUAUUGGGAAGCAGAACUCCUCCAAACUAUGACAGAGUUGGAAUAGAGAACUUCAUUCGUGCAAAGUACGCUUGCUUCUAAUUCUAAUUUUCUUGUACUGUGAUUCUUCACAGUUCUACUUAAGAUUUGUAUAGCUGGAUGCGGUAGCCUGAAAAAUAGUUCAAUCGCCAAAUAUGAAGAUAAAAGAUGGAUACCUAGAAAUUCUACUGCAAGAUCACAUUUACAGUAUGGAGAAGAGAAGGUUUCUGAAUAUAAGGAAAAGUCUGAUGAUAGGCGUGCACAAGGUUCUAUUAAUAAAGCAGAUUCUCCUGGGGAGCACAAAAGCCCUGAGCAACAGGGUCCAAAGAAAACCAGCCUAGUAGUCCCAAAGUUACCUACUCCGGAGCAGAAGUUUCUGGUUGGUGUUAUCUUGAUGGUCCCUUGUUAUGCCAUUGAAUCGAAAGUGAAGAUGCUAGGUGCCGAAGAGCUCUCAAUUGGUGACCUUGAGAUUUGACCUGUGAAUGCAUCAUGGAACCCCCUGAACUCUCUGCUGACGAUGCUUUCAGGUCUAUUUCUGUGGCC
This is an RNA transcript of Asparagus officinalis (garden asparagus), 2701 nucleotides long. RefSeq lists it as uncharacterized. The record is from RefSeq and is a predicted model, not a curated record. Lineage: Eukaryota; Viridiplantae; Streptophyta; Magnoliopsida; Asparagales; Asparagaceae. The transcript is spliced from 4 exons.